This is a non-coding RNA of Callithrix jacchus (white-tufted-ear marmoset), 1028 nucleotides long. The record is from RefSeq and is a predicted model, not a curated record. Lineage: Eukaryota; Metazoa; Chordata; Mammalia; Primates; Cebidae.
GACGUCGAGGUGCGCGGCGCCGUGCACUGCGUCACUCUUGGCUGUCGGCGUCUGUUCUCUGUACUCGUCACGCAGCGUUCUCCCGCAGCUUAGUUAUCCACCGCCAUCCUGGCCCCCACGUGUUGCCUGACUAUUCUUGAGCCCAGCAGAGAAGUGGGGCUUCUGCAUGACCUCGCUGGACCCCAGGCAGGAUGGGACGUGUGGUCUGGAGGGACCUCACCGGAACGGAUGGGAUGGCGGGUAGACCAGCCGCAAGAGAAGCUGUAGAGUGGCCCAGGCGUUGCAAGGAGCUAGAGCUGGAUAACGGUUCAGAGGCACAAGCUGGAGCUGACUGCAUUUGUUCCCCUCUAGGGGGGAGCCAUGGCUGAGGUGAUGGUCUCACAGUGGAAGAGCUUACUGUCACAGCAACUCUUCUGCAAGAUGCCCCGGUGAGGCUUCCAGCUGAUUCUGUCUUUUCAGUCCAGGAACAGUGGCUGAACACCCCAGGCCUGCUGAGCUCCCUCCUUGAGUCUCAUGUUCAAGCAGUCUUUGUCCACAAAACUGGGAGGCUACCUUGUUAGCUGCCAGUUCCUGUCAGCCACCUCUCACCAGCAGCUCCGCUGUGUCCCUGACCCAACACAUGGCACAAGAGUGCCUGCUGUCCCUCCGUAUUUCUACAGCAGCAAUCCCAGGAUGCCAGAGCUAGCGGCGACCUGACCUGAGAGACGAUUCCUUCAGUGGCUGCCAGGCUGUUCCCUGGAACCUGUGCAGGGAUGAGGCAUGCCCGUGUUAAUACACCUAGUGAGGAGUGGAGCUGAAUUUGAACGCAAGUCUUGGCACCUUAAUUGAGCAAGUUUGAAACCUUCCUUGCUGCCCUUCUGGAAGGAGUCAGGAAUUUCUGGUUCUGGGCCUGGGCUCUGGGCCUAGGUUUGGGUACCAGGUUCUCUGCUUCCAGAAUGAGAAGCCUUGCUGUGCUCCAGCACCUGGGCCCUUCUGGUAUCUCCUGAAUGAAAAACAAGGGAUAUUUAAUAAAUACGGAUUUAAGUAUG